The sequence is a transfer RNA, 80 nucleotides long. It matches the Rfam family "tRNA". From Rfam's summary of the family: Transfer RNA (tRNA) molecules are approximately 80 nucleotides in length. Their secondary structure includes four short double-helical elements and three loops (D, anti-codon, and T loops).
UCCCGAAUGGUGUAGUGGCUAACAUUGCCGCCUCUCAUAUCGGUUCGCGGCAGCCCGGGGUUCAAUUCCCCGUUCGGGAA